UGCCACAGGAGUCUCUACAGCGCAAUGGGACAAGGCCAUCCCUCCCCUACCUCGUGCCGACGCUGGGACAAUUGUGCGCCCCCUCGUGGGUCUAAUGGUCACGGCCGGGAAGGGUCUCGAACCAGCGUCUUUAGAAACGCAGUUUGCACUACGAUGCAGUGUCUUAGACCGCUGCGCCACUCGGGAAGUUCCAGCCACAAAGUUUUUAAUGCUUAUCAAUUGCCUUGCAAAAAGUAUCAAAAUGCUACACAGGACUCUUAAAGAAUUUAAUUUAAAUGUUAAUUGUAUUUUUUUAAUCACAGAAACAAUGAGGGGGGAAAUUAAAUAAAUAAUGAAAUGUUCAUUAUGUAUAGCAGCCUGUGUAAUCAUCUGCCAGGGAGCAGCCCCGAUCGGCCGAGCCCCAAGUAAAACAUUUGGGCCAGAUAACUCACUGGAAUUGUCCCGAGCCCCAAGUAAUAUAUUUGGGCCAGAUAACUCACACCGGAAUCAGCCCAAGCUCAAUCCCCGCAUCCUAGCCAUAAGUAAUACUGCUGAAGGUGGCCCAGACUCUGACUCUCAGCUGAGUGCCCCGACUCUCAUCUGGAAUUGGCCCAGAUCCACUGUGCUAGCUGGGUACAAAGUAUCAUCAGAAGAGGACUGAAGACUCAUGGAGACACCCCCACUACGAUACAAAACUGA
This 678-nucleotide long non-coding RNA is filed under the name Oncorhynchus kisutch (coho salmon). RNAcentral describes it as "lncRNA (ENSOKIG00005032931.1)". Lineage: Eukaryota; Metazoa; Chordata; Actinopteri; Salmoniformes; Salmonidae. The record is from RNAcentral.